Long non-coding RNA from Lathyrus oleraceus (garden pea), 748 nucleotides. RefSeq lists it as uncharacterized. The transcript is spliced from 2 exons. Lineage: Eukaryota; Viridiplantae; Streptophyta; Magnoliopsida; Fabales; Fabaceae. The record is from RefSeq and is a predicted model, not a curated record.
AAUGCUCUUUCUAAGGACCAAUUAACAAACAAUAAUUAAAGAAAAAGGUGCAUGUGGGCCUUGUAUGUGAAUCUGUACUAUGUGAAUCUGUACGCAUUCAGAAUUUCCUUUGGUAAAGUUAGAAUUCCUCACCUGUUCACUGAGUUGCUAGGAGGAAAGAAAAAAAAACAGAUCGGCCGGGAGAAGAAUCUUGUUAGAAUUCCAAAACGGUGAAACCGUCGCGCUCUCUGCUCCGACCUCCUCUAACCGCAACGGUAAACAAAACUCAGCGCCGACGCACUAUCUCAGCAAGCGACGACGAGGAUGGCGGCUUCGUCGAUGACGCCAACUUCGUGAAUCCGGUGACCUCUUCGCACUAGCCACUCCUUCCUCUUACUUUUCUUUCACUAUCGAUCUGCUUCUGAUAAGGUGAAGUGAUGUUGAUGCUGAUUGAUUGAAAAAGGGGGGCUGUUAUUCAACAGGUUUUGGAAAAGUUCUGAAGAGUUGGUUUUGAAUUGGGAACUUCCAAAAGAGCUUUUGGAAGAGUCUUUGAAAUUUGCUUCAAACUGCUCUGUGUUUACAGCUUAUUCCAAUUUUCAACUUAUUUUAAAUAUACUCCAAACUCUGUAAUAAUAUUGGGAUUUAGAAAUUUGAGAUUGAUUAGAAUACUUCAGCUUUUGAAAAGUUGGGUUAAACGUGUAACCCCUUUGUUAUUAUGCAUUGGCCCUUUGGAUUAUUCAGAACUUAUUUGGAAGCAUUUUUUGUGUAA